This 1737-nucleotide long non-coding RNA is filed under the name Podarcis lilfordi (Lilford's wall lizard). The record is from RNAcentral. Lineage: Eukaryota; Metazoa; Chordata; Lepidosauria; Squamata; Lacertidae.
AUUUGUUGAUGGCAACUCUUCUUUUUUCAUCUUCUCAGUCUACCCUCUUGCCUUGUGUAUUGAAGAUAAUGAGGCCAUUCUCAGAACAGGCCACUGCCUUUUUGCUACCAUUAUUACAUGUGCUGCCAUUUGUGUACUAAGAGGUCCAGAUGCUUGUGACAGCUUGAUUUCCUGGAGCAACCUACAAGGACACUGCAAGAAAGGCAAAAUGCUUUAGCUUCAGUGACAUGGAGGGGGAAAUAUUCUGCAAUGUGACAGUAGCAAUGCUACAAUUUCGUAACACUUUCAUCUCAAAUGUUUGCUUUUCUUUAGCUUCUGACAGCCUUAAGCAUCACCCUUUCAGCUAAAUUUCUUCUCCAGGCUGGAGAGAUUUAUACUUGUAUACAUUUAAACUGACUGUUUUCUAUCAGUUGUUUUAUCUGUUUGUUUAUGUUACUCCCCCCCACACACAGUUAAAGAGGAUAAGAUGACUGUUAUUGACUAUGCCAAUGUUUCUCAAACUUCGAUCGCCAGCUGUUGUUGGACUACAACUCCCAUCAUCCCUGACCAUUGGUCCUGCUAGCUAGGGAUGAUGGGAGUUGUUGUCAAACAACGGCUGGAGAUCCAUGUAUGAGAAACACUGGGCUAGCUAUAUCAUUAAAUGCUGCAUGUGUGUAUUGUAAAUCAGGAAUGGAAAACUGUGAGCCUCUAGGUGCUGCUGGUCUAUAGUUUCUUUGAUCCCUGACCAUUGGGCCAUACCGGCUGGGGCUGAUGACCAGGGCUGAGUCCAACAAGAACUGGAGGGUGGCAGCUUGGCCAUCCCUGUCUUAAACCAUGAUUCUUAAAGUUUAAGGAAGAUCUCUAUAUACAAAACUGCAAGCACUAAUUAGGAGAACUCUGAAUUCUUCUUGAACUCCAAACCUCAAUUUAGGUGUCUUGUUUGGAUGAAAACGUGGGCGUGCUGCUUCCCCUCUUCCAAAUCAGAGGAACACAAGCAAUUGUCUGGAUAAUAUGUCUUCCUACUUGUGCUGAUUAGGAGUGCUUGGAAUUCAAGACAACAAAUGCUUCCCUCCCCUAUAGGAUUUCCUCUGCAGUUUCAUUCUCUGGACGUCCACAUGGAGUUGCAGUGCAAUGACAGUUAGAAAAAAGGACCAGUGAGUACUAUCAACUUUUCCCCAUAAUAAUGCACGUCAUCUGUCUGAGAAUAAAGCAACUAAGGGGGAAGUAUGUCUAGUUAUUCUUUUCUGUGAAUUGCCAGGUUGGGCAGGGCAUGAAAGAGUUCACAGACUCAUCAGGAUUUUUGUUCCUCUGGAUUUAAAGGUUUUGUGACAUGUAGCUCAGGAUGGAUAAUUGUGUUGAUUUUGUUUUGUCUCAGAUUCUAAUUUUCCCAGUCUUAGGUUUCGUUUUCCACAUUUCUGCACCAGUCCUCCUGAAGAUAUAUUAGCAUUUUAGUAAAAUUUCUCCUAUUAUCACGGCUGGCUCACUCAUGAGGUGAGGUAAGGCAGUGGCCUCAGGGUCCAGACUUCGGGGGUGGGGGGAGGCAGCUUCUGAGAAGUGUGCUGCUUACUACCGCCUGCAUUUGUCAACCUCCUCUGUAUAUCCUGCAUGCCCUGAUGGGCAGAGUGGCAUUUUCUAUAUUGCUUCUAGUGGCAAAAUGUCCUGGGGCUGCCUACCAAUAAUGCAUGUCUUUGUAUGCAAUAUUGCCGGAUAUACCGAUUUUUGCAAGCCAUAUCCCCUAAUAAAAUGUAUUUAAGAUUC